AAGGCCUGAUGUGUGUGAGAUUACCCGCUGAAUUUAAGCAUAUAAGUAAGCGGAGGAAAAGAAACUAACUAGGAUUCCCUUAGUAAUGGCGAAUGAACAGGGAUCAGCUCAGUGCCAAAUCGGAAUCACUUGUGGUUCUGAAAUGUGGCUUGAAGGCAGUACCAGUGGCAUCGCGGACGAAAGUCUCUUGGAAAAGAGCGUCAUAGAGGGUGAGAAUCCCGUGAGUCGUUCGCCGUUUGUCACGUACGGUCUGCGUUCUAACGAGUCGCGUUCCUUGGGAUUGGAGCGUAAACGGGUGGUAAAUUUCAUCCAAAGCAAAAUAUAUACUCGAGACCGAUAGCACAAAAGUACCGUGAGGGAAAGGUGAAAAGAACUUUGAGAAGAGGGUUAAAUAGUGCCUGAAAUCGUUGAGAAGGAAGCGGAUGCCGCCGUUGCAUAUGCUGAUUGUAGGAUUGCUGCUCGCUCCUGUCUUCUGCUACUCAUUCACAGACCUGGUCGUGUUGAGCAGUUGUUUGGCAGAUGUUAGUGGUGUUUCCUACUUUCAGUCGUCAGCAUCACUGGCUGAGUGGAAAUAAUCCUUGGAUGCUAAUUGGUUCGCUAUCUGUGAAUUGGUUGCUUCCUUGCGAUACUCACUACUCGGUCAGUGAGGAAGUGCGUUUGCUGGUCAACGAGCUUUCUAACUGUCAUUACCCUGCGCUUUUCGAUUCGUCGAGUGGCCAGGAUGUGGCUUUGAGAUUGUUCGCACUUAGUAAUCGCGAUGCUGGCUUCCAACGGUUGCCUCCGGCCCGUCUUGAACACGGACAAGGAGUCUACGUAUGUGCGAGUGUGUGAGUGGCAACUUAUACGCGUAAUGAAAGUGAAGCCGUAUGGGCAUGUUGGGGUCACCAACACCCGACCUUG
RNAcentral lists this non-coding RNA (900 nucleotides) under Perkinsus marinus ATCC 50983. Its description in RNAcentral is "Eukaryotic large subunit ribosomal RNA". It matches the Rfam family "Eukaryotic large subunit ribosomal RNA", at positions 1 to 773 of the family's 3401-position model. The record is from Rfam by way of RNAcentral. Lineage: Eukaryota; Perkinsozoa; Perkinsida; Perkinsidae.